Xenopus tropicalis (tropical clawed frog) is the source of this 782-nucleotide long non-coding RNA. RefSeq lists it as uncharacterized. The transcript has 3 exons. Lineage: Eukaryota; Metazoa; Chordata; Amphibia; Anura; Pipidae. The record is from RefSeq and is a predicted model, not a curated record.
AGAAAGUUUCUGGAAGAAGAACUUUUUCUUUGGAAGAUGGCAUCUGUCAUCCUCAUGUGACUUAAUUCUUCAUUAAACAAGAUACAAAAAUAACUAUGAUGGAUGAUCUCCUUUAAAUACCCUGAUAAUGGAUGUCACAGCCCAGAUUGCUGGAUACAGAUCUUUAUUUAGUACCAGCAGUGUCUCCAGCACACCCCGAGCCAUAAUUGAUGUGUUGUAAAGGAGGUAUAUCGCCGUCCAUUAGAAGAGAGCCGUAUAUCAUUUUUGUGUUGGUGCUAACACUCACAUAUAUAUCAAGGCAAUGCAGAAAGCCAUUCUAUAAAACAGUGGGAACAAAUGGAUUAAGAAGUGCAUCAGCUUUAAAUAGCUCCUGGAACUUCAUAGAUGUUGUAUAUACCAACACCAGCUACAUUUUUAUUCUCACUAAUCAAGUUUUUUUGCAUAAGGAAAUAAAGCUAAUUUCACAGCAUGCUGGAUAUGGUGUUGUAUUCAAAGGGAAAAAUAUCUAAUAUAAGUCCUGUGUCAUUCCUCUAGCUCAUUGCUGUCCAACUUCUGUGGUGCCAAGGGCCGGAAUUUCUCUAGAAUACAUAGUGGAGGGCUGCUGAUGGAAGUCAGCUUUGACCACACCCUUUUAAACCACACCCACUUCAAACCACACCCAUAUUAUCACAAGAGGUUUUAAGACCCUGCCCACAUAAAUGGUGGUAGCGCAGCAUAAACCCAAAUGGUUGGUGCUGACUGUAGGGUUAUCACCCUUCACUCGUUUGUGAAAGAAUUAUAUU